RNAcentral lists this ribosomal RNA (248 nucleotides) under uncultured Actinomycetales bacterium. RNAcentral's name for it is "partial 16S ribosomal RNA". It matches the Rfam family "Bacterial small subunit ribosomal RNA", at positions 85 to 334 of the family's 1533-position model. The record is from RNAcentral. Lineage: Bacteria; Bacillati; Actinomycetota; Actinomycetes; Actinomycetales.
GGGGUGCUCAGUGGCGAACGGGUGAGUAACACGUGAGUAACCUGCCCUUGACUUUGGGAUAACUUCAGGAAACUGGGGCUAAUACCGGAUAGGAGCUCCUGCUGCAUGGUGGGGGUUGGAAAGUUUCGGCGGUUGGGGAUGGACUCGCGGCUUAUCAGCUCGUUGGUGGGGUAGUGGCUUACCAAGGCUUUGACGGGUAGCCGGCCUGAGAGGGUGACCGGCCACAUUGGGACUGAGAUACGGCCCAG